CAUGUUUCUAAAUUCAUCUUCAUUUCCAGAUCUUGUGCAUAAUUUACAACCCUUUCAGACCUUGGUGGGAAAGAUACCAACCAGUUAGCUAUAAAUUAUGCACAAGAUCUGGAAAUGAAGAUGAAUUUAGAAACAUGGUGACUAGAUGCAACAAUGUUGGGGUUCGUAUUUAUGUGGAUGCUGUAAUUAAUCAUAUGUGUGGUAACGCUGUGAGUGCAGGAACAAGCAGUACCUGUGGAAGUUACUUCAACCCUGGAAGUAGGGACUUUCCAGCAGUCCCAUAUUCUGGAUGGGAUUUCAAUGAUGGUAAAUGUAAAACUGGAAGUGGAGAUAUCGAGAACUACAAUGAUGCUACUCAG
This 359-nucleotide long non-coding RNA is filed under the name Homo sapiens (human). RNAcentral's name for it is "HSALNT0011748". Lineage: Eukaryota; Metazoa; Chordata; Mammalia; Primates; Hominidae. The record is from RNAcentral.